This 275-nucleotide ribosomal RNA is filed under the name uncultured bacterium. RNAcentral describes it as "partial 16S ribosomal RNA". It matches the Rfam family "Bacterial small subunit ribosomal RNA", at positions 399 to 691 of the family's 1533-position model. The record is from RNAcentral.
GCGUGGGUGAUGAAGGCCUUCGGGUUGUAAAGCCCUUUUGGCGGGGACGAUGAUGACGGUACCCGCAGAAUAAGCCCCGGCUAACUUCGUGCCAGCAGCCGCGGUAAUACGAAGGGGGCUAGCGUUGUUCGGAAUUACUGGGCGUAAAGGGCGCGUAGGCGGCCCUGUCAGUCGGGCGUGAAAGCCCCGGGCUCAACCCGGGAAAUGCGCUCGAUACUGCAAGGCUUGAGUGUGGGAGAGGAUGGUGGAAUUCCCAGUGUAGAGGUGAAAUUCGU